RNAcentral lists this long non-coding RNA (323 nucleotides) under Rhinopithecus bieti (black snub-nosed monkey). RNAcentral's name for it is "lncRNA (ENSRBIG00000046059.1)". Lineage: Eukaryota; Metazoa; Chordata; Mammalia; Primates; Cercopithecidae. The record is from RNAcentral.
CUCUGUUCUUUUUAGAGCACCUCUUCCCUUACCUUCCUCUUAAUCACUCAAUCCUUUGAAGAUAUAUAUAUCAAUGAGAAGGAAAAUCCUUUCCUAAAGCUAGCAGCUCACAGUUAGCAUCUCAUUGAAAUUUCACAAGGAGGAGCACUGAGCAUGUUUGAAGAGAUUCGUUGACAUUUAUGAUCCAGUUCUACUCACCAGUAUUUAUCACCUUUGUCUGCAAGAAAUAUGCUUACAAUCACAGCUCCCUGAAAACUGCCUGGGAUCCCUCCUCCCUAGAGCACCAUGAAGCCAGCUUCCCCCUCUCCAGGCCAUGGAAGGGC